UUGUCGGGCACUGGAGUUCUAUUGUCGGGUAUUUUUUAAAAUAAUAUUAAAAAAAAGGAGUUCUUCUGUCUUUUGAGUUCUACGGUCGCCAAACCAAAGUUAAAUUGCGUUUUGGAAUUGGGGUGUCAGAGGUGUCCAAUAGAUGGCAUAGGCGUCGUCGUUUUCAUGUGAUGGCCGAUUGUUGUGUUGAGUGGUUGUCAAAAGUUUUCCUAUUUUUCCAUGAAAAUUACCGAUGAAUUCAUAAGUAAAUUCAAGUUUGUUUCUGUGCAACUUGUUUGUGAUGUGAUUUAUUCUGUUUGUGUGCUGGAUCAAAUUCAAAAUUCCUCAAUCUAACCUGUAGGAAGGAACGGGAAAGGAAACAGUGCAUACAAAGUAGCCUACCAUCACUAUACCAACUCUUUUAUUAAAAAUCGUCGUUCUGCUGAAUGCAUCAUGCAGUUAAUACAGGUAAAAACCAAUAAUGUCUUAGUCACAAUUUUUUUAAAUACUUGUUCCCAGACUUAGUUAAUAUUCGUCUAAUUAUCAGCAGUUUCUAUUGAUCUUUGUAGGUCACUACCCCAGUGUGGACAUGUUUGUUUUUCUGAACAUGUUUUUCAACAAAUAAUUCAUUGACAUGCAAGGAAAGCUUAAAGCUUAUUCAUGGGUAAUCUUCAGGUUAGCAGCAGCAGCUUAAGAGAAGAAUGUGAACAAAUGCAGGGCACAUACCAACAUGUGCUGUAUUUUUCUGAAUGUUAAGCAUGAGCAGUAGAUUCAACAUGACUAACUGUUUCAUGCCAAAGUUAGUUGGAACUCAACUCACUG
Long non-coding RNA from Daphnia pulex (common water flea), 801 nucleotides. RefSeq lists it as uncharacterized. The transcript has 3 exons. The record is from RefSeq and is a predicted model, not a curated record. Lineage: Eukaryota; Metazoa; Arthropoda; Branchiopoda; Diplostraca; Daphniidae.